This 448-nucleotide ribosomal RNA is filed under the name uncultured bacterium. RNAcentral's name for it is "bacterial SSU rRNA". It matches the Rfam family "Bacterial small subunit ribosomal RNA", at positions 330 to 792 of the family's 1533-position model. The record is from RNAcentral.
ACCAGACUCCUACGGGAGGCAGCAGUGGGGAAUAUUGGGCAAUGGGCGCAAGCCUGACCCAGCAACGCCGCGUGAAGGAAGAAGGCUUUCGGGUUGUAAACUUCUUUUCUUGGGGACGAAGAAAGUGACGGUACCCAAGGAAUAAGCCACGGCUAACUACGUGCCAGCAGCCGCGGUAAUACGUAGGUGGCAAGCGUUAUCCGGAUUUAUUGGGUGUAAAGGGCGUGUAGGCGGGAAUGCAAGUCAGAUGUGAAAACUAUGGGCUCAACCCAUAGCCUGCAUUUGAAACUGUAUUUCUUGAGUGCUGGAGAGGCAAUCGGAAUUCCGUGUGUAGCGGUGAAAUGCGUAGAUAUUAGGAGGAACACCAGUGGCGAAGGCGGUCUGCUGGACAGCAACUGACGGUGAGGCGCGAAAGCGUGGGGAGCAAACAGGAUUAGAUCCCCUCGUA